GGGAUAAGCCUGGGAAACUGGGUCUAAUACCGGAUAGGACCAUGCUUUAGUGUGUGUGGUGGAAAGUUUUUCGGUGCAAGAUGAGCCCGCGGCCUAUCAGCUUGUUGGUGGGGUAAUGGCCUACCAAGGCGACGACGGGUAGCCGGCCUGAGAGGGUGUACGGCCACAUUGGGACUGAGACACGGCCCAG
This 190-nucleotide ribosomal RNA is filed under the name uncultured Actinomycetales bacterium. RNAcentral's name for it is "partial 16S ribosomal RNA". It matches the Rfam family "Bacterial small subunit ribosomal RNA", at positions 140 to 334 of the family's 1533-position model. Lineage: Bacteria; Bacillati; Actinomycetota; Actinomycetes; Actinomycetales. The record is from RNAcentral.